GGACCAUAUGUCAUACAAGAAGUGGAUUCAAAUGGUUUUUAUAAACUUGUCAACACAGAUGUCGUGAAAAUUGGCCCUAUCAAUACCAAGUUCUUUAAUAAGUACUAUACUUGAAGAAAGAUGACACUCAUUAAAGCACGAGUACAAACUGCAUGUCCACUCCUGGCCCGCAAGAGUAUAAACUAUGUACUUCUCAAAAAAAUAUUCUCUAAGUUGAAAACCUUAAAAGGAUCAGCUGAGGCAAAAGUUAGGACGCGAAAAAAACACUCACCCAGAA
This 277-nucleotide long non-coding RNA is filed under the name Capsicum annuum. RNAcentral's name for it is "long non-coding RNA (CANN_LNC000687)". Lineage: Eukaryota; Viridiplantae; Streptophyta; Magnoliopsida; Solanales; Solanaceae. The record is from RNAcentral.